CGGCGUCCUUGUCCAGUUUGGUCAUCAAGAUCAUGGCCAGAGAUUAGCGAACUUAGAAUUACAGGUAGAAAACGCGCGUUUUCAGCGAAAUGCACGUGGAGUUUGGUAUUGAGGCAUGUCCCAGGGUCCAAUGAUCUUAGAUCGUAAACUAUGGCUGAGAAAAAUACCGAUGGGGAGGAUUUUAGGGGCGCAAACCAACUCCGCGUGGACAAUGGUCAAAAUCGGAGUGUCCAACCUUGUCUUCGUCAAGAAUAACAAAAAUAAGAAUAACAGUGAUGGCAAAACAAGCUUGAAACGGCAGAUAUCGCCAGAAACUACAACGGACACACAAGAUGUUGGCUCAGAACUUGAUGUUAAACUACCAGGUGAAGAUGGAGGUAGAGAUUAAAGGUUAAAAUUCAGUUUGCUGAGCACUUCAGUCUUUUGGAUCUUAACAACCUUUUGAGUGGAAAACAAAAUGGCAAAAUACCUCAAGAUGCAGUGCAGGCAUUGGACAUUGUGUUGCCACAGAUGCCAUCAAUACAUUACACCCCUGUUGGAAGAUCAUUCUUCACAUUUGAUGGUCAAGGAAGACUCCUGGGGGAGGGGUGUGAGGGGAAAUUUGGUUUUUAUUCAAGUAUUCAGCAUUCUGAGUGGAAGGCCAUGCUGGUAAACAUUGAUGGAAUUCGUAUACAAACUACUAAUGCUGGCUCUAUAAAGAGGAUGUACACAAUUUAGGGCGUCUCGGAAAAAUCAGCCAACAGGAAGCAGUUUGAUGUAACAGAUGAGGGAACAGGUCGCACAUAUAAAACAACUGUUACAGAUUAUUUCAAAGAUAGAUACCGGUUAAUUUUGAGGAGCGAGCUGCGGAUGAUUUAUAUAACUUGUGGGCUCUCUAUUAUAAGCACUAACUUAUACCAGAGCCAUUUCCUGCCUCUCGUCCUCAUGUAGUGAGCCCGGGUCAAAUGUGCCCGAAUAGGUCUAAAAUAGUUACCAAAACAGGGCUCAUGGUUCCCACGCGAGCGUGGACUUGUAAAGAAGCAAACACUUUUUCUAUUUUUCAAUUUUGUUUAGUUCGUAAUCUCUUUAUGAGAGUUCGAAAUUACGAUAACUAUUUCAGGAGGCACUCAUCGGAGGCACUUGCGGAGCUAAAUGAAGUAGCAGCGCAGGGCCAAUGCAGUCAGUACAGUCGGUGACUUUUACGUGGUUGCAACACGAAAUGGGAAAUGUCAAGGAAACACUAGUUUAAUAAGAAA
RNA transcript from Pocillopora verrucosa, 1235 nucleotides. It is a transcript of the gene named protein argonaute-2-like, with no coding region annotated. The record is from RefSeq and is a predicted model, not a curated record. NCBI's taxonomy places the organism in Eukaryota, Metazoa, Cnidaria, Anthozoa, Scleractinia, Pocilloporidae.